GGUUGAUACUGUGUCGGGCAACUGGCCUACAUAGUGUUUAAUCAUCCGUAAAGGAAGCCAAUUCGUCCUUCACUGGUCGAUUGGGGGAAUUUACAAUUUACUGUGAAAAAAUUAGAGUGUUUCAGGCAGGCAAUCGCUUGGAUACUCCAGCAUGGAAUAAUGGAAUAGGACUUUGGUCUAUUUAUUGGUUUGAGAUCAAAGUA
This 203-nucleotide ribosomal RNA is filed under the name uncultured fungus. RNAcentral describes it as "partial small subunit ribosomal RNA". The stretch from base 80 to 203 matches the Rfam family "Eukaryotic small subunit ribosomal RNA", at positions 734 to 864 of the family's 1831-position model. Lineage: Eukaryota; Fungi. The record is from RNAcentral.